This 384-nucleotide ribosomal RNA is filed under the name uncultured organism. RNAcentral describes it as "bacterial SSU rRNA". It matches the Rfam family "Bacterial small subunit ribosomal RNA", at positions 45 to 433 of the family's 1533-position model. The record is from RNAcentral.
UGCUUUACACAUGCAAGUCGAACGGAUCUAGGGGCUUGCUCCUAGGUUAGUGGCGAACGGGUGAGUAAUGCAUCGGAACGUACCGUGUAGUGGGGGAUAACCCGGCGAAAGUCGGAUUAAUACCGCAUACGAUCUACGGAUGAAAGCGGGGGAUCGCAAGACCUCGCGCUAUACGAGCGGCCGAUGUCGGAUUAGCUAGUUGGUAGGGUAAAGGCCUACCAAGGCAACGAUCCGUAGCGGGUCUGAGAGGAUGAUCCGCCACACUGGGACUGAGACACGGCCCAGACUCCUACGGGAGGCAGCAGUGGGGAAUUUUGGACAAUGGACGCAAGUCUGAUCCAGCCAUGCCGCGUGAGUGAAGAAGGCCUUCGGGUUGUAAAGCUC